Molecule: ribosomal RNA, 231 nt
Filed under: uncultured bacterium
Lineage: Bacteria
Description: partial 16S ribosomal RNA
Rfam family: Bacterial small subunit ribosomal RNA
Source: RNAcentral
UGGGCAACCUGCCCCUCUCUCUGGGAUAACCCCGGGAAACCGGAGCUAAUACCGGAUACUCCGGCUGGAUCGCAUGGUCCGGCCGGGAAAGGUCCGCCGGAGAGGGAUGGGCCCGAGGCCUAUCAGCUUGUUGGUGGGGUCAUGGCUCACCAAGGCGACGACGGGUAGCUGGUCUGAGAGGACGACCAGCCACACUGGAACUGAGAUACGGUCCAGACUCCUACGGGAGCA